GUUUCACUGCAGUAGCAGCAGACGUCAGUUAUAGUGGUCACGUGGUUCGCACUCGAGAUGCCUCCAUUCACGGGCUAUAAAAGAGAGCGACUCCCUAGCUCCCAUCACGCUUCGCAAGGAGACCAUUGGCUUCUGAGAAGAAUGGCUUCAUGCAAGGUUCUACAUUUGGCCGUCUUUGCUCUUGUACUGCAGGCCAUCAUUCUGUGCUUCGGACAACCGGGAAACCUUCCACAAUCCCGGGAUGAUUCUGAUCUUCAAGAAUGUCAAUCGCAGUGUGGCUCAUACAACAAUUACACGUGCAGUGAACAAAACUGCACAUGUAUUUAUGUUGAGAACGACGCGAAUGGCACCUGCUACGACUUAAGUGAUUACGAUUAUUCGGAAAGUGCCAGUGAUACUGCCGCAUAGACGUCAACCAAAGCGGAAGACCUGUCAUGUGCUGUACCACAAUUAUACAGUUCAAAUAAAGCUACGAUUGUUGUAUAACAGAAACACUCAUUUCAGCAUGCCGACUGCGCAUGCGCACUCGUGCCGCAAUCGUUCCAUCAUUCUCGGUGUGCAUGUACGCCCGGUUACGUCCAACAUUUACCUCUUUUGUAUCACUGCUAAACAUUAUUGUUUCACAGUGGUUGACACCUUUUAUUUUUAAUCGAUGUUCUGGGAUUAUGAA
Molecule: long non-coding RNA, 670 nt
Organism: Dermacentor andersoni
Lineage: Eukaryota; Metazoa; Arthropoda; Arachnida; Ixodida; Ixodidae
Source: RefSeq, a predicted model, not a curated record